CAGCAGCGCGGGAAUACGAAGGGGGCUAGCGUUGCUCGGAAUGACUGGGCGUAAAGGGCGCGUAGGCGGCGGCCAAAGUCAGGCGUGAAAUUCCCGGGCUCAACCUGGGGGCUGCGUUUGAUACUUGGUUGCUUGAGUGGGGAAGAGGGUCGUGGAAUUCCCAGUGUAGAGGUGAAAUUCGUAGAUAUUGGGAAGAACACCGGUGGCGAAGGCGGCGACCUGGUCCUUUACUGACGCUGAGGCGCGAAAGCGUGGGGAGCAAACAGGAUUAGAUACCCCAGUAGUCCCUGUCUCUUAUACA
RNAcentral lists this ribosomal RNA (301 nucleotides) under uncultured bacterium. RNAcentral's name for it is "partial 16S ribosomal RNA". It matches the Rfam family "Bacterial small subunit ribosomal RNA", at positions 509 to 808 of the family's 1533-position model. The record is from RNAcentral.